This 3095-nucleotide ribosomal RNA is filed under the name Actinomycetota bacterium. RNAcentral describes it as "23S ribosomal RNA". It matches the Rfam family "Bacterial large subunit ribosomal RNA". Lineage: Bacteria; Bacillati; Actinomycetota. The record is from RNAcentral.
UCAAGCGAGAAAGGGCUCACGGUGGAUGCCUUGGCGCCAGGAGCCGAUGAAGGACGUGUCUGGCUGCGAAAAGCUUCGGGGAGCUGCCGAGAGAGCGUUGAUCCGGAGAUGUCCGAAUGGGGAAACCCGGCCGGGGUCAUGCCCGGUCACCCGCGCCUGAACCCAUAGGGCGUGUGGAGGGAACCGCGCGAAGUGAAACAUCUCAGUAGCGCGAGGAAGGGAAAGCAACCGCGACUCCCUCAGUAGCGGCGAGCGAACGGGGAUGAGCCUAAACCGGUGUGGUGUUCAAGCCCGACGGCGUUGCCAUGCCGGGGUCGUGGGACCCGCGGGGACCCUCGUCGGGGGGUCCGGGGAGUUACAAAGCCGACGUCUAGUCGAAGGCCAUGGAACGGGCCGCCAUAGAAGGUAACAGCCCUGUAGGCGAAAGGCGAUCGGCCUCCCUGCGCGGUGUUCCCGAGUAGCACGGGACCCCGGAAAUCCCGUGUGAAUCUGGGGGGACCACCCCCUAAGGCUAAGCACUCCCUGGCGACCGAUAGUGAACCAGUACCGUGAGGGAAAGGUGAAAAGCACCCCGGGAGGGGAGUGAAAGAGUACCUGAAACCGUGAGCCUACAAGCAGUCGGAGCGUUCGCUGGGCAACCAGCGGGCGUGACGGCGUGCCUUUUGAAGAAUGAGCCGGCGAGUUAGCGGUACGCGGCGAGGUUAAGCCAUCUGGCGGAGCCGAAGCGAAAGCGAGUCUGCAUGGGGCGUACAGUCGCGUGCCCUAGACCCGAAGCCGAGUGAUCUACCCAUGGGCAGGUUGAAGCGAGGGUAAGACCUCGUGGAGGACCGAACCCACCAGGGUUGAAAACCUGGGGGAUGACCUGUGGGUAGGGGUGAAAGGCCAAUCAAACUCGGUGAUAGCUGGUUCUCCCCGAAAUGCCUUUCGGGGCAGCCUCGAGCGUUCUCCGGCGGAGGUAGAGCACUGAUCGGGCUAGGGGGCCCACAAGCUUACCGAACUCGGUCAAACUCCGAAUGCCGUCGGACGAAGCUCGGGAGUGAGGGCGCGGGGGCUAAGCUCCGCGUCCGAGAGGGAAACAACCCAGACCACCAGCUAAGGUCCCCAAGUUCGUGCUCAGUGGGCAAGGAUGUGGGAUCGCCCAGACAACCAGGAGGUUGGCUUAGAAGCAGCCAUCCUUGAAAGAGUGCGUAACAGCUCACUGGUCAAGUGGUCCUGCGCCGACGAUGUAACGGGGCUCAAGCACGACACCGAAGCUGUGGGAUCCGCCGGAUCGCUCGGCCCUCGAGGGAGGCCUCGUGGGUCCAGGCGGGUGGAUCGGUAGGGGAGCGUUCCGACGCGAGUGAAGCGGCGGGGGAACCCAGCCGUGGACGCGUCGGAAGUGAGAAUGCCGGCAUGAGUAGCGAAAGACGGGGGAGGAGCCCGUCCGCCGAAUGCCCAAGGGUUCCUGGGGAAGGUUCAUCCGCCCAGGGUUAGUCGGGACCUAAGCCGAGGCCGAGAGGCGUAGGCGAUGGACGACUGGUUGAUAUUCCAGUACCACCUCACCCGCGCCCAGCCCGACCCCCGGUCGCUAAGGGAACCCCUUCGGGGGCUACCGACCCACCGGGGCUAGGGCAGCGAUGGGGGGACGCAGGAGGGUAGCUCGACCCAGGCGGUGGUCGUCCUGGGGCAAGUGUGUAGGGGGACCCCCUAGGCAAAUCCGGGGGGUCGCGUACCCUGAGGCACGAUGCCGAGCCGUUCAGGCGAAGCGAGUGAUCCCAUGCUGCCGAGAAAAGCCCCUAGCGAGCUGGUGAGGUGCCCGUACCCCAAACCGACGCAGGUGGGCACGCAGAGCAUGCGAAGGCGAUCGAGAGAACCCUGGUUAAGGAACUCGGCAAAUCGCGUCCGUAACUUCGGGAGAAGGACGACCGCGCUAGGGUGAAGGACCUCGCGUCCGGAGCUCGAAGCGGUGGCACAAACCAGGCCCAAGCGACUGUUUACUAAAAACACAGGUCCGUGCGAAGUCGUAAGACGAUGUAUACGGACUGACGCCUGCCCGGUGCCGGAACGUUAAGGGGAUGGGUUAGCCCCUCGGGGCGAAGCUCUGAACCUAAGCGCCGGUAAACGGCGGCGGUAACUAUAACCGUCCUAAGGUAGCGAAAUUCCUUGUCGGGUAAGUUCCGACCUGCACGAAUGGCGUAACGACUUGGGCACUGUCUCAACCGGGGACUCGGCGAAAUUGCACGACGAGUAAAGAUGCUCGUUACCCGCAGCAGGACGGAAAGACCCCGGGACCUUUACUGUAGCUUGGUGUUGGGUUCUGGCAUGUGUUGCGUAGGAUAGGUGGGAGGCUGCGAAGCCGCGCUUCCGGGCGCGGUGGAGCCGUCCUUGAAAUACCACCCUUCACGUGUUGGGGCUCUAACCCGGGCCCGUGAUCCGGGUCGGGGACAGCGCCUGGUGGGCAGUUUAACUGGGGCGGUUGCCUCCUAAAAGGUAACGGAGGCGCCCAAAGGUUCCCUCAGUCCGGUUGGCAAUCGGACGUCGAGUGUAAGGGCACAAGGGAGCCUGACUGCGAGACCGACGGGUCGAGCAGGUGCGAAAGCAGGGCCUAGUGAUCCGACGACUCCAUGUGGAAGGGUCGUCGCUCAACGGCUAAAAGGUACCCCGGGGAUAACAGGCUGAUCCUGCCCAAGAGUCCAUAUCGACGGCAGGGUUUGGCACCUCGAUGUCGGCUCGUCUCAUCCUGGGGCUGGAGCAGGUCCCAAGGGUCGGGCUGUUCGCCCGUUAAAGAGGCACGCGAGCUGGGUUUAGAACGUCGUGAGACAGUUCGGUCCCUAUCCGCUGCGGGCGUUGGAAGCUUGAAGGGAGCUGCCCCUAGUACGAGAGGACCGGGGCGGACGAACCUCUGGUGUGCCAGUUGUCGCGCCAGCGGCACGGCUGGUUAGCCACGUUCGGAAGGGAUAAGCGCUGAAAGCAUCUAAGUGCGAAGCUCGCCCUGAGAUGAGGCUUCCCACCGGGAGACCGGGUAAGGCCCGUGGGAGACCACCACGUCGAUAGGCCGGAGGUGGAAGCACGGCAACGUGUGGAGCCGACCGGUACUAAUAGGCCGAGGGCUUGAC